UCGGGAGCCCCUUUGGUGAUCGUACUGCAAACCGACUCAGGUGGACGGGGUGAAUAUCCCAAGGCGCGUGAGAGAACCCUGGUUAAGGAACUCUGCAAAUUGACACCGUAACUUCGGGAGAAGGUGUGCCGCUGGCGGUUAGUGACUUCGCGUCACGAAGCUGUCGGUGGUCGCAGUGAAAUGGCGGUUGUGACUGUUUACUAAAAACACAGGACUCUGCGAAGUCGUAAGACGACGUAUAGGGUCUGAUGCCUGCCCGGUGCUGGAAGGUUAAGGGGAUAUGUCAGCGCAAGCGAAGCAUUGAACCGAAGCCCCAGUAAACGGCGGCCGUAACAAUAACGGUCCUAAGGUAGCGAAAUUCCUUGUCGGGUAAGUUCCGACCUGCACGAGGGCAUAACAACAUCCGCACCGUCUCGACCAGGGACUCAGCGAAAUUACAUUGGGGGUGAAGAUGCCCUCUACCCGCGGAAAGACGGAAAGACCCCAUGAACCUUUACUGCAACUUGGCAGUGAUUUUCGGGUUGUUCUGCGUAGGAUAGGUGGGAGGCUUUGAAGCCGGGCUUCCGGGUUCGGCAGAGCCAACGUUGAAAUACCACCCUGAAUAAUCUGGAAAUCUAACCUGCGCCCAUGAUCUGGGCGAGGGACACUGCCUGGUGGGCAGUUUGACUGGGGCGGUCGCCUCCUAAAUUGUAACGGAGGCGUGCGACGGUUCCCUCAGGCUGAUUGGAAACCAGCCGUAGAGCGCAAACGCAUAAGGGAGCUUUACUGCGAGACUGACAAGUCGAACAGUUGCGAAAGCAGGCGUUAGUGAUCCGGUGGUACCACAUGGAAGGGCCAUCGCUCAUCGGAUAAAAGGUACUCUGGGGAUAACAGGCUGAUCGCGCCUGAGAGUUCACAUCGGCGGCGCGGUUUGGCACCUCGAUGUCGGCUCAUCGCAUCCUGGGGCUGGAGCAGGUCCCAAGGGUUUGGCUGUUCGCCAAUUAAAGCGGUACGCGAGCUGGGUUUAAAACGUCGUGAGACAGUUUGGUCCCUAUCUUCCGUGGGCGCAGGACACUUGAGAGGAGCUAUCCAUAGUACGAGAGGACCUGGAUGGACGAACCUCUGGUGCUCCGGUUGUCACGCCAGUGGCAUAGCCGGGUAGCCAUGUUCGGAACAGAUAACCGCUGAAGGCAUAUAAGCGGGAAGCUGGCCUCAAGACUAGGUGUCCCUGACGCAAGUCACUAAAGGCCCCUCGAAGACUACGAGGUUGAUAGGCUCGGUGUGGAAGCGCUGCGAGGCGUGGAGCUAACGAGUACUAAUAGGCCGUGCGACUUGACCUC
RNAcentral lists this ribosomal RNA (1319 nucleotides) under metagenome. RNAcentral's name for it is "bacterial LSU rRNA". It matches the Rfam family "Bacterial large subunit ribosomal RNA", at positions 1623 to 2925 of the family's 2925-position model. The record is from RNAcentral.